GGGUGUUUUUGCUAGCAUCUCUUGAGAAUUCAACAGGGGUAUUUUAUGAUUGAUGUGCAAACACAGUACAAAUAGAGGGUCGUGAACAUCCUGUUGACAGGAAUAAUCACAGACAAUUCUUGUAUGGAGAGCUCUUAACAACCUCCCCAAAGAAGGGACACUUGUCCAGUCAGUCAAUUAGUUCUGCAAGCUUGUUCAUUAGAGCAGGUGUCUAUGUAUCUGAGAAUAACGCGUGCUAUUAAGAAGAGAGCCAUGGUUAAGUCACAUAACCAUGGCCAUACACCGAACCAUUGGUGGACAAGUGAUCACUCAUGAGACAUCAGAGACAUCAGAUACAUUAGAUCCAUAAAUAAUUACAUAUUCCAGUGAUCAUAUUCUAGUGUGUGAAUGGUGAAAGCCUGUAUGAAACCUGUUAUGUGAUGCAGCUUUAGACUGAACUGUUACUUACUAGAAGUGUUCUGGAAAGGUAAUUUCCUUCAGAAGUACUUUCAAUGAUUAUUCAUGAAUAGGAAAUAAUGUCUCUAUAGCUAUUUAGAAAUGUAGCUAAUUAAAUUAAUUAUUUAUAGUGCCGGGCUACACCACUGUGUUUGUUCUAUCUUGCACCAGCAUGGAAAGCAACAACUACAACUAAAUCCUAUAGUAAAUCCUAAUUUAGCUACUAAAUAAAAUCCAUCAUUACUAUAAAGCCAGCGAGCGCUAAAGAACAUUUUUCCAUCAAAAUAGAAUCCUUACCAAAAUAAUUGGCAGGUCUGGAUUAGUCUUUAGUGCUGAUGACAAUGAAAUGAUUUACAAUGAAACGAUAAGGCUCCAUAACUAAGGCUGCAUGAAAGCAAACCACUGACAUCAGACUGGUUUCGCCAUCCAAUUAAUCUAGAGGGAUUAAAGUAGAGAAGAUUUGCUUCCAUGUUUAAGCAUGCAUGAGGUUUGUGUUUGUGUGUGUCUUUGAUUUUCUCUAGUGCCGGUUGGUCUGUUGAGGGGGAGGAGGAAUGGACACAGAGGAAAUGAAAGUGUGAGCCUCUUCAUGAAUACUCCAUCUCCUCCACCUUCAAACACCCUUCCUGCACCUCUCCACGCCACAAGUGCCCCCACUGAUCUCAGUUCAGGGGCUGGUAUGGAGGGAGAAGUUCAUUAAUGGAGAUGCAGAAGCGUCUAUGUAAAAAAACAUAUACGCACCUUUCAGUGACGGAAACUAUUGAUGUGACACUACUUGAGUGCCAUGGACCUCAUAGCGAGUGAACUCAAUUAGCCACAUCAAUGUAUGUACCAUCUGAAAUGAGGGUGAAAGAUAACAAUAAUUAAAAUGAGGUCACCUAUUCAGGCUGAAGAUUGACAGGUCUUUUAGGCAAAGCCCACAUCACAGGGGACACCAAAUGUGUUGUAUUCCAGGGCUGAAAUCACAAUAAAUGACCACACCAAAGAUCUAAUUCUGAAAGGGGUUGAUCUGGAGAUUUAAAUGCACUUUAAAUGCGCUGCUAUUUCAAUAUAUUCUACCUCUGGUGAAGACAUGGAAGUCAGGCCUGAAAACAGCCACUGUUAGGAUCUGUUUGACCGUUUCACCUGGUUGCCUGGCAAUGCAUUGUGCUGGUUUGAGUGUUGCCACCCAAUCUGAGGAUUAGGAUGUAAUUACUGUGUAUCAAAUAAAAGAACUGGUGCUCACCAUACACGGCUCUGGUGUUGGAUUUCUGCAGUAACAUUUCACUCUGGAAUUGGACAGAAAUGCACCAGAGGAAAAUACUGCAACUCCUCAACACUUUACAUGAGGUGGGUAAAAGUUCUUCACAGACAACAGCACAAGGCUUUAACAGCAUGGAUGACAAUACUCUCAAACAAGAUUUCAGAAAAAAACGACACACUUAAAAAUGGUAACAAAUAGCCUACGUUCCACCAUAGAGCAACUGUGGGAUCUGUGCAUAUGUUUAUAUAAUCAGAAAAUGUAUAUUUGCCUAAAGAAAUAAAAGUAACAUAAACAGAUGAAAAAUGUAAAAGACGUUUCUUUGAAUUGUCAGGUGAUCUUUCAAUCGCUGAUUCAGUGUAUAUGCACUUCUAAAAAUGUUCAAGACUACCGGAAUUUAAACUACCCUUCCUUUUCAACUUAACAAUGAUGCAUUAUGUCUUUCUCACUUAGAAUUCAGAAAGAAAAAUGCCUUUGGAUCUGGACUUGAUGGACUGAGUAUGUUAAACCUAUACGGUCAGAUUUUUUUGGAAUGGUUAAAAGAACGUGACAAUGUGAUGUAUUUUAACUUAUUUGAACUUUAUUUCUAUUCUAAUUUUUGCGAUAUGUAAUGUGAGCGCUCCCCAUGUUCGUGUAAUUUUUUUAGAAGGUAAACCUUUGGUCAUAGUAAAGAAUUGACAUAUAUUUUCAAGUUCAAAAUUAUAUAUUUUCCCUAGCAAUGAGUCCUGAACUAGGAAGGAACUUGUGUGUUUUUAAAGUAUUGAAGUAUUAAAGUAUUGUAAAUGUGUCAUGUUUGACUGUACUCUUGUCAAUACCCAGAUAACCAAAAGAAAAAGAAAAUAAUAAAAAAAAGCAAUGAUGCAUUAACAGAUACAACAAUCAGUAGCCCAUACAAGCGUUAUCUAUUAGUUCUUACACACCUUCCUAAAAAAAAUAACUAUCAGUACGUAAUUAAACAGUGAGAGAACAUUACUCACCAUUAAGCUGUGAACUGCUAGAGACUGCACAUCAGGGGGUGCAAAUAUGAAUGAUCAUCAAGCUACUGGCAUCAUCUCUUCCCCAUCGAGACAAAAUAACAACAUGUGCCUCAACCGCCACAGAGAAUUCUGGGAUACUCACUUUAGAAUCACCACCAGUGAGGGAAGGGGAGGCGUGAGCGAGGGAAAGGAGCUAAAGAAAGGAGAGAGAGGGGAGGGGAUAAAGGGUUAGGGAGUAAGAGCAACAGAGACAGAGGGAGUGACGUGAGAAGCACAUUGGAGAAAACUGGGAAGUUUAGCAUUUAAAAGGUACAGUUUCUAAUCCCAUACACUUUUUGUCAGAUCAAUGCUCCUCACGGACCUCUAGCUGUCUGUUCAUUCCUCGGUCACUCAAAAAAAAAAAACUCAGGUGUUCGUGCAGUCCUGUUUAUGUGGAUGAAAAGCAUAGUGGCUCGGAUCGAGCCAUAAACAGUCCCAGCUAAUCAACACAGUGCGUGCUUCAGCAGCACGACAGGGAGAGGUGUCAUUUGAUUGGCUGUUUAGCUCAAAUAUCAACAACCUUUCACAAAACCGAAACCAAAUUGCGG
Long non-coding RNA from Clupea harengus (Atlantic herring), 3236 nucleotides. The record is from Ensembl. NCBI's taxonomy places the organism in Eukaryota, Metazoa, Chordata, Actinopteri, Clupeiformes, Clupeidae.